AACGAACGCUGGCGGCGGGGUUUAGGCAUGCAAGUCGAGCGAGAAAAGCGCAAGCUGAGUACAGCGGCGUAAGGGUGAGUAAUAGGUAGUCAACGUACCGGGCAGACGCGAAUAAUUUCCCGAAAGGGAUUGUAAUGCGCGAUGAGAUCACGGGCACCACGGUGCAUGGGAUCAAAGGUCGGGGAUCCUUCGGGACCUGGCGCUGUCUGAGCGGACUACCUCUGAUUAGCUAGUUGGCGGGGUAACGCCCACCAAGGCGAUGAUCAGUAGCCGG
Molecule: ribosomal RNA, 274 nt
Filed under: uncultured bacterium
Lineage: Bacteria
Description: partial 16S ribosomal RNA
Rfam family: Bacterial small subunit ribosomal RNA
Source: RNAcentral